This 253-nucleotide ribosomal RNA is filed under the name uncultured bacterium. Its description in RNAcentral is "partial 16S ribosomal RNA". It matches the Rfam family "Bacterial small subunit ribosomal RNA", at positions 524 to 776 of the family's 1533-position model. The record is from RNAcentral.
UACGUAGGGUGCAAGCGUUAAUCGGAAUUACUGGGCGUAAAGCGUGCGCAGGCGGUUAUGCAAGACAGAUGUGAAAUCCCCGGGCUUAACCUGGGAACCGCAUUUGUGACUGCAUAGCUGGAGUACGGCAGAGGGGGAUGGAAUUCCGCGUGUAGCAGUGAAAUGCGUAGAUAUGCGGAGGAACACCGAUGGCGAAGGCAGUCCCCUGGGCCUGUACUGACGCUCAUGCACGAAAGCGUAGGGAGCAAACAGG